Brienomyrus brachyistius is the source of this 1349-nucleotide long non-coding RNA. RefSeq lists it as uncharacterized. The transcript is spliced from 2 exons. The record is from RefSeq and is a predicted model, not a curated record. NCBI's taxonomy places the organism in Eukaryota, Metazoa, Chordata, Actinopteri, Osteoglossiformes, Mormyridae.
AUUUGAAAUGGUGCUUUCUUCACGUUAGUCACUUACAGUACGGUUCCAUUAAAAUCAUCUGAUAUUUGCAGUUAGUACAAAAGUAUAGAAACAUGAAAGUGUUCCCAUAAAGUGCAUAGUUAUCUGAGAGCUGAGUUCACGGGGAUUAGCGGCUGGCAACUAAAGGAAGCAAAUAAAAUCAUUCUGGUGUGCAGAUAUGAGCUAAUGAGGAAUAAACAUCUUUUGGAGAACAAUCAGACCUGCACCUUCAGGUCCUUCUUUAUCAUCCCUUCUUAACUUAAGGCUUCCUUUAAUUUUCAGUUUGGAGAUUUGGCCAGGAGAUAAUUCACCCUGUAGGGUGUGGAUCCUUUUUCAGGCAGGGAGGGGGGCGAGGUUUGCCUCAAAUGCUGAAAUGCCAUUGGUCCGUGCCAGCAGGUCAAAUAGCAAUACUUGGGUCAGGUAGACAGAUAAAGUCAGACUGACAGCAGAGGAGUUUGUAAGUACUACUCCUCACCUCCGUCAUCCCCCGGCCGUCGUUUUUGGUUAUUUUUGUCUCGAACGAAGGCAGACCUUCAGAGGCCGAGCAGAAGGCUUUUUUCCGUUCGCUUGCAAAGAUUCCAACUGUGAUUUCUUGCCUGUUUAACAACUUUUAAAACUUCUUAACCUUUUUGAAAGUUUUUGGUUGAGUUGUGCAGUGAUCUUUGCAAGUGUUUCACUCCUGGAUCUAACAGGGGAAAAAAGAUUUGUUCCGUGUCGCUCCGGAAAGGUCCGCGGCUGGGUGGUCGCCUCCAUCUCUCUGUGUGUCCUAUCCUUCAUUCCACCGGAGUCUGUGUCUUUCACUGAUCAGAUUUCAGUGGUGUGAAGUGUAAGAAACACAGGGCUGACACCUGGGGAGUGAGACGCCUGGAGGGGGACCGCUGCGUCCGAACGUCCUGCGAGGCCGGACACCAUUCCGCACUGCGGCUCGCAUCCCAGGCGUGUAACCAGUGUAUGCGAGUGUCUGCCAAAAUCUCCAGUGCUCAGUAACACCCAAAAGCAUUGCACUGCCUCAAGCCUUAUCCUCACAGCUGUUCAAUAGGUAAAAUCCAUGCACAUGCCCUUUAAGGGCAACAUUCAUUUUCAAAUCAUGCUGGAAUAUCACAUCGAUUUCCUGCCACCCCCCCCCCCCUCCCCCUCCCCCAAACAAAUGACCAUCCAGAAAAAUCUAAGCUGAUCCUUUUUUUCGUGCAUUUUAGAGAAACACUAACCCAAACUCACAAUCAUAAACCCAUUUGCAAAUCAAUAGCUGUUGGAGAUUUUCUCCUUGAAUAAGGGAUAAGGGACUUUUUGGAGAACCAAACGUACCAGUUAAACAUCACAUUUUCAUCCUC